Molecule: long non-coding RNA, 2372 nt
Filed under: Linum usitatissimum (flax)
Lineage: Eukaryota; Viridiplantae; Streptophyta; Magnoliopsida; Malpighiales; Linaceae
Description: long non-coding RNA (LUSI_LNC005978)
Source: RNAcentral
CGAUAUUGAAGCGAAACGUAAAACACUACCCUGACACAAUGAAACAAAACAACAUGACCAACAUGACCAAGGAAGUUUGCAGAACAACCUAACAAAUAGAAACAACAAUGGCCUAAUCCUUUAUUAAAAACCGAACGCUAAUGGAGGUGGGUAGCCGGCCUUUCUUGUCUUUGCGGUGGAUAGGCCGGUAAUCCAUCACCGAAGCCUAGUUCCUUACAUGGUUGGGCGAGUCGCUUCAUGCGAACUCGCUUGUUCUUCGAGAUCCUGAUGAUGAUUCGGUUUCUGGACCUGGAGUGCACCUAGCUCAUCUCCACCGACUCCACCAAGACCAGCGUUGUUGAUUGGGACAGGGUAGCCGUUGACGAGGGCACCGCAAAUCCUUGGGUCGUUGCCGUCGGGGGUCGGACAGUCCCAUCGCCGACCUGGUGCUUACUGCCGCCGGCUUCGGCUUUCCUUCCAGCGAUCGUUGCGCUGAUGUCUGCCGAUGCUGCUGUCAGUCCAAGGUUCUUCGGCAUGGUUGGUGAGUAAAUACGAUGGGUAUGACAUGAUGAAUCUCACAGAGGAGACGAAAACCACACAAGAUUGGCGGCGAAAUCUCACAGAGGAGACAAACCCUAAAUUAGGGCAAGAGGAGAGGCUAAGGGUUCAAGAAAAAACUGAGAAGAUUAUAUCGAUGAAUAAGUAUUCUAAUUACGUAAUGUUUGUAAAUUCUGAAUCAAAUUCUAUCAUUUUUGUUUUGUUGUUAAGGGCUCAUAGUUUUCGGGUUUAUAAAACCAUGAAUUUAUUGGAUAAUGAAUUAAUUUGAAUAAGACUAUUUAUUUAGUUUGUAAAUUAUAUAGACUUUUCGGUUGGGUGAGUUUUGAAAUUUUUACCUAAAUUACUUAUCGGGAUAGAUCAUAAUUGUUGAGUUAAAUUAUUGAUUGAUUUAGGUUGGAUUGAGACUGGACUGAGUCUAAUAAAUUUUUUUUGAAACAUGAAUAAGUUUUCUCUAAGCAAGUAUGUCUUUUGUUUUCCAAUUACUAUGCACUGUCGUUUAAAUUGGAUCAAAACUAUAAUCCAUAUAGUUGAUAUCAUAUGAAUAUCGCUUUUUUUACAUCAUGGCUGCUCAACACAAAAGUUAAAUAGUGUUUUGAUGGUACGAAUUAUAAGUUUAAUGAUUUAUAUAUGAAUGUUGAAUAUUAUAUGGUUGUUAUGUUAGACGAGGGUAAAUAUUAGAUGGAAUCAAAUAAUUCCCAUCCAAAAUACAUAACAAAUAGAGAUAGGCACAGGCUUUGCCGAGUUGGAUGCUGUAAGGCACGACGGGCACCUUGCAUGGUGGAAAAGAAAGAAGAAUCAAAUAAAGAGUAAAGAGCACUUAAUAGAUAGGAUUAGGAACCUGAGUCCUGAACCUGAAUUAUUAUGUUAUCUUUGGGUUUAAAUAUAACGACACGUAGCUGGCAUCACAAAGCAGUCCUUAAGCAUGUGCGCCAAAGUCAAAAACACACUUACCACAAAAUUCGACACAUUAGUCAUUACUAAAGUACGGCUUAAUAUCUAACUAUUAGGUUUGAUAAUUUGGUCAUCAACUUUUUGGAAGUAACCCACAUACCACUAGCUCAUUUCAGUUGUAGCAAAAAGGUUAUUCCGUCUACUCCCCAUCCAAAACCUACAUUAAGUUGACUAAUCAACAUGCCAAUUCAUCAUUUACGUACGCAUCACCAUUUAUCAAGUCGCAUAUUAUAUCCUAAAUCUAAAAAGUGAUAAAAUAGGUGGCAAUGACAUGACAAUGAUGACACGGACAAAAAUGAUGCAUUGACAACUAAACAAAGAUUUUGGAUGUUGAAGUGACGAAAUAAUCACAUUAUUGUAACCAAGAUAUCUUAAUAUAUAGUAUGUAUGUUAAUUUUCAAAAGUUAGUGAUUAUGUUGUUAUAAACCCAAUAAGUUGAUGACCACAAUAGACAUUAAGCCGAAAAAAAGAGUUGAAGAUACGAAUUAGAAGCAAAAUAAAAUCAUUAACAACAAAAGAUGGCUUAUCUUCAUGGCUAAUCCUUAAGCUUUCAGUACCGAUUUGAAAAUCAUGCUUAUUGCAUGCAAAUUCAACACUAAUUAGUUGUAAAGUCGUCCUUAAAAGUGGCAUUUAUAGUUUUCUAAUUCCUUUCCCCCUCAGCGCCAAAAUAUAAAAUUAAAUCUGCAACACUGUUCCCACUUCCAUCAUUUCAAAUUCAAUUCAUCAACAUUUCUCAAUUUGAAUCCCUAAUCUAUAGACUCAGCAAAAUUGAUGGACAACGUACCAAGAGCCAACGCCGGUGCCAGCCAAGUUCCGGAACAAUUGCUGCUCAGAAUUCGAUCAGGCUUAGAGAGUGUGCUCCCUCGUUCAUCAAGCUCGAGCAU